GUUUGGUCCCGUGCUACCUGUCGGUGGGCUCAGUCCACCCUCGCCCCUUCGAUCGAUUCCGUGGCCCUUUGUGCGCGGACUUCGGGUUGCAUCCCCCCGCAAAUAUUGCGGCAACGCGGCCGUGCUUCCACGGACUUGGACCCCGUAGGAUGGCUCGAUUGGGCUCUCCUUCCCUGUCCGUGGUAUCGGUCCCUCCCCACAUUUUCUCUCGAUUACGUGGCCGGGCGCCCGCGGACAUCGGAUGGUGUUCGUUGUUGGGGCCNN
Molecule: long non-coding RNA, 264 nt
Filed under: Elaeis guineensis (African oil palm)
Lineage: Eukaryota; Viridiplantae; Streptophyta; Magnoliopsida; Arecales; Arecaceae
Description: long non-coding RNA (EGUI_LNC073464)
Source: RNAcentral